GAUCUUUUCAGCUCAAAAUUGUAUUUAUGGAGUUUUUGAUGUCUAAAAACUGUUUCUUAUGAAAAGAACCAAUUACUCUCAACUUAUCUUUUAUUAUAAUUAUUCCUUUUUACAUGGGAUAGAAAAAGAAAUUAUUAAACUUAUUUGAAGACUUCCGAAUAACAUUUGGUUAUGCAGUCUGCCUAUUUUAAUGUUACUAUGACUUGCAAAAUUGAAAACUGUGGAGGAAUUCUAAGUUAAUGGAAAAAUCUCUAAACUUCUUUAAGGAUGUUCAUCUCAAAAUGUGGUUUUAAAAUUAGGCAUUUCACCAUCUGACACAAGAAGAGAAAGAAACCAAAUUGUAGAGAAUCAGAUGUGAUUACUGUCCUUGAUGGCAUCUGCCUGCAAAUGGGAUAUUCUGUCAAGGUAACAGCGGAUAUGAUUGAAAACAAGAUGUCUGCUGCCCUUGGGAGGACUUACUCACAAAUGGGAUGUUCUGCCAAGUGCGCUAGGAAGGCGCUGAGAAAAAUUUUAUUAUCUGUUCUUAACAAAGAGCAGAGUUCAGCAUGCUCCAGGCUGAGAGUAGAUUAGCCAUGAAAAGGGGGUCACUUCUGAUUAGAAAGUAAAACUUCUGUGUGCUAUGUUUAAUUAGCUGAAAGACCUGGUUUAUUGCUGUUGGGAGGCUGCCUUCUUUGUUCACAAUACUAUAAAAAGAUUGCUUGUAUACAAUAAAGGACUUUUUUCUUCUGCUGCUUGGCUUGCUCUGCUGCUUCUUUCUUUCUCAUGCUGACCUGCAAGUGAAUUACUGCAACACCUAAUAAAAUACUAGCAAACUCUGACAGAAACUCUUUCCAAAAUUAGACUUACUAAUCUUCACAUGAGAGACUCCAUUUUCUACAGAGGGCUUAUUCUUUAAUAUACAAGACUCCUUCUCCUCCCCACUAAACUUACUUAUAAAAUUACACUGGUUUCUUGGGGCUUCUGCCCAAGUUUCUUCCUUAUGAACCACUGACAUUUCUGCAAACCUCCUCUAAAUAUUGUGAGAGAUAGAAGUGGCUUUUUAUUUAGAAAAGUAGUCAUGAUUGAGGAUUAUCAGUGAAAGCCCAUGGGGCUUUAUUGAAUCAUGUCAACAGCUGUCUGUAAUAAUGCAUACUUUGCUGGCCACAACAGAAUGUAUAAAACAAUGUUAUGAAUUGGAAAAAAAUAUGUUUUUUUCAUAAUUUAUCAGCAUUAUUAUGCCACAGAAUAAUGCACUCUUAUCAAUAAUACAAAGCUCUUUGUGAGCAUUAUGUGUUGUAGGUAAUAAUUCAGUCUGUUCUCUGGCCUGCCAGGAGAGUUGUAAAGCAGAAUGUAUUAGCUCACCUUGUGAUAAUAAAUCACUUUAGUAUGUCCGUAGGCUCUAGCUAACAUUCACUUCUGAGGUCUUAAAGAACAGUGCUCUAAAUGGUUCUGGAAGUGUUUAUACUGGCUCUGACUCUCCUGGGUAAUGUUUCAGUGAGUGAUAUGAUCAGAUAACAAGUGGCACUAUUUCUCAAGUAUCCAUAUUGUGAUAUCUCCUGUAGUUUUAUUGCCUGGAGUAGUUGAUUUUGUCUUAAUUGGAUCUGGAGUUCUUUGUGUCUAUUUUUAAUAUGAUUUUUUAAAAGUGGUUUAUAAACUUGUGCACUUGUUCUAAGUGAUAUCACCCUUUUUUCUUAGUUAUCUUUGCAUGGAUCAGAAAUCAAUAAGUCCUCACUGUUCUUGUUUUAUCCUCUUGAAAAAAUACAGACACCUGUAUAGGAAAUGUUUCUCUUGAAAGUGAAAUAGCCAUCAAUUCAUCACCACUUCAUGUGUUCCAAAUGGUAACAAGACAUCUGCAUUGGUAGCAAAUCACAAUUGAUUAUAUAAAUAGAAUUUAGAGCAACAUGUUUACAUAAACUUUGUGAUAAUAACCAAGCUGUGUGUAUUAAUUUCUCCUAUAAUAACAGUAAAGGUGGUGAUUUGUGCACAGGAAGAAACUCUCUGACAUUAAAUCAUUCUUUUGGCUGAGAACAUACAACUGAAUUUUAACAUGUUACAAUUUUCUCACAGGAAAACAAGAAAUAAAUUUAUAAGAAGCACUUUAUUGAAGGUAAUAGCUUUUCUAAAAGAGGUAAAACAUUUCAUUUUGUUUAUAUUUUCUUAAAACUGCGUAGACUAAUUCUGAGAAUGUACUUAAGCACUUUCUUUUUUUAUAUACAUUUUUGGAUGUUGAUGGACCUUUAUUUUGUGCAUUUAUUUAUAUGAAGUACUUAGAUGGAAACAUGUGCCUCAAACAUGCUAAGCAAGUGUUCUACCACUGAGUUACAAUCCCAGCUCCAGGCACAAGCCCAGGUCUUUCAGCUCUUUCUUGAUGUGUAGAAUUUCUCACCCAUGCCUCUGCUGUCUUGAUCUAAGUAUCCAUACACUUACUUCACACUGAUACAGUGAUUGGAUUCACAAACACAGUACCAUUUACUGCAGCAUAACAGCAUGGUUUAUAACUUAGUCCAUUUUAAGAAUUCAAGCUAAUUAGAGUCACACAACUAUUAUAAUAGUGCCUUUUAAUCCACUGGUAUAUUAACCUAUAUAAGAGGGGCGGGCUUUUUAUAUACAAAAAAAUCCUGAAAAAUAGUUGGACUGAAACAGGUGGAAAAUAAUAGUUGAGGCCCACUGCUCUUUUGUGUUGCACUAAUAUUAAUGCAGAGACCAUUAGGAGCAGCACACUAGCUGAGCUGAAUAAAGUUGGCCAAUUUCUAAGAAAAUCAGAAUUCAUAUAAUACAGGGCCUUCUAGACCACAUCAGGUUGACUCCUUUGGAAAGCAAAUGUGUAAGCCAUGCAGCUCACAAGACAUGACAUGGCUCAUCCACAUUCCACAUGGCUUGUGUGGCCUCUGUUCAGCACCAGAAGACCCUCAACACUGGCUCCCACAGAAGAGAUUGCUGCAGUGAAUUAUUGGUAUUAGUAAAGUGUAGUGAACUAUGGUGACAGCAAUUUUGAAGAGAGAUUCCUUCUGUUUGCGUCCAGCAAAAAGACAGUAAGGAAAAUAUGAGUGAAAAAGUCCUUUUCCAUGAACUCCUCCUUGUUUUGCUUUGUAAGCAUACCCUAUAGAAGAAAAUAGAAUUCUGACUGUGGGGGGAAAUCUGGACCUCCAGUGAUUGUUAUAGAAGAAUAGGAAAUGUUGACACCAAGGGUAUGCUAUCGAAUACUUAGCAUAGAACUGCCUACUUCUUUGAGAGAAGGCUCUGUGGUAAAUAGAAAAUGCUGGUCAUAUCGUUUCUUUUGGAUUCAUGAAGCCUAGAGUUUUAUUUGAUGUUUGAGAUCCAUUGUGCUUUGAAAUGUAAUGCUCUUAGCAUCCCUGCCAUAGGUUAAUAUGAAAGGUGAUUUAAAAUACUGUGGUGGGCUAACCUCCAUUGAUUAUUUUGAUGGGAAACAUUUUGUAAUUAAAAAAAAAUUAAAAUACAAAUACUCUUUAGUAGGGAAUUUUAUACACCAUUGAGUGGAGGCUUUCUUAAAAUGAUUUUUGUCGGACUGCCCUCCGACAGAAGUUGAGGAGAAUCACUAUACCAGCUAGUGAGUGUCUACGGGCUGAGGGAGAGGGUGAGUGUCCUGACCCAGCCCGCCACCCUGCCUGGCAAAAAUCACACCGAGUUGGGAGUUGAGGACUUAUAUAGAGAGAGGAGAAGGAGGGGGGGCAAAGGCAAGGGCCAAUCAGAGAUUGGAGAGUCCCCCAGGUUGGGGUAGCCUAGGCACCCCAGUUACAGAAACAGAGCCCCGUUACCCUAGUUACAGAAACAAUACCCCAUUAGGUAUGUGUGCCCCGUUGCUGGGGAGUUAUUCUUUGUGUUUGUGGAAGCCAUAUCUUGGGGCUGUUCAGGCACGUAUAUGGAAGCCAUUUCUCAAGCUCUAACUGUCAUGUACAUGGAGAAUCACAAAACCAGAAUCAGAAGACUGGGGAUUUCUUUUUCCCCAGCGAUUGCACUUCCAUGGUCAGCAGAGGUCCCAACAUAUUUUAUUCAAACACAUCUUUUAUUUCAAAUAUAUAAAUAACUGGCUUUUUAAAGUCCGUCAUGUAAAAAAAUUCAGAUACUUUAAAAUAAAAGUAAACAGGUAAUUCACACCAUAUUUUCUACAAAAAUUUUUAUUUACCAUUGUGUUUAGAAAAAUGUAAAAGAAUUAAAUUAUUUCACGUACAUAUAAAAAGUUAACCUUAGGUAAAACAUAUAUACAUAUAUACAUUUAUACAUAAUGUUCUGGAGUGUACACACACAUUCUAAAAUAUAUAUAAAAGAUUUCAUCAACUUGGAGAAAAAUUCCGUAAAGUAUCUAGUAUUGAUAUUAUUUAAUGAACUUUCAUGGAAAAGUAAUUACAAAAUCAUGUCUAAACUUAUGAGAAAUAGUUUCAUGUGUUGAUCCCUAUCCCAAGAAAAUAAGUUUUCAGAGGUUUUUCAGAGGAUAAAUAACCUGUGAUUCUUCACAGUCUUAUCAUGCAUUCACUACUUUUCUUAUUUCUAGCCUGGAUACUGUCUCUCUCUAGUACUUAAGACAUUUUCUUCAUAUGUAAAUUACUUUUCCACUUCUACCUAUUUUGAUUUAAUUUCUUAAACACUCUUUGUAUUCU
This 4595-nucleotide long non-coding RNA is filed under the name Marmota monax (woodchuck). The record is from RNAcentral. Lineage: Eukaryota; Metazoa; Chordata; Mammalia; Rodentia; Sciuridae.